CGCCCACCAAAUCUGGCGCCACAUGUUCCCACCAAAGAAAGAAAAAUACAUUACAUUUACAAAAUCCUUCCUCUCCUUCUCUCCUACAUCGAAGUAAUCGAUUUUAUACACACAACACAACAAACAACAACAACAAUCUACCCUCUUUCUAUCGCUUCAAAGCCCCCUUCAUUUCGAUUUGGAUUUGGAUUUCUUUCAUCUAUCCUCACUUAUCCCUUUUCCAUCCCAAUAAUCUGUUCUUUUUUUUAGUGAAUCAGUUUUUCAUUUUCUACUUAUUUUUUUGGGUCUUAUAGCUGCCAUUUUUGGGCCAAUCCAGAGUAGGUGGGUGAAGUCUGUUUAGGCGAUUGUUUUGGGUGGACGCUAUGGCCUUGAAUCGAGGGGAAGGAUGCUCAGCUGGGUUUGGGUUCUAUGCUUGGUGUUUAGGGGAGAGAUGCUUAACUGAUAGGGUGGAUGGAUUUGGUGAUUUUUCGGGUUUGAAUUGGGAAAAAGAGGAGCUUUAUGAUUGUAAAGGUGGAAAAUUCAGUAAGGGAUCUGAUGAAAUUGCUGAUUUGUUGCCUCCGGAUCCAUUUAAUAUGGAAAGUAGUAAAGAGGACACAGGUUGGUUAGAGGAUGUUGGGUUUAAGGCUGACGAUAAUGAGGUUGUGAAACUUGAUUCCAUGUUGAAUGGCAAAAUGAGAGUUCAUGAGGGUGCACGUCUCCAGUUGAUAGAUGGAAAUUGUGGGCUGUUUGGGAUGAAUUUCAGAGAGGAGUUGGACAGUGGCCAUGGUCUGAUAGAUGGUAAGAAGGAGAUCAUGGAUUUUAGUUAUGAGAAGUAUUGGAAUCUUGGUGAAACAACAGAUGAUAUGGAUGGAGGUAAUCCAUCUGAUGCGUUGUUGUUGGCCCUCAGUUAUUUAGGCUUGAGGGACCUUCUUGCAGUUGAAGAAGUAUGCAAGUCCUUACGUGAUGCUGUUAUAGGAGAUCCACUUUUAUGGAGAAGUAUUCACAUAGAUUAUCCAUUUUGUACUAAGAUCACAAAUGAUAUUCUUAUAAAGUUGACGAAUAGGGCUCAAGGCCAUCUUCAUUCUCUCAGUCUCAUUCACUGCUCAAAGAUCACCGAUGCUGGUUUGAAGCAUGUACUUGAUAGGAAUCCCAGCUUGUCAAAGUUAAAUGUCCCAGGAUGUGCGAGUCUCACUGCAGAUGGUAUGCUCUCCAACUUAAAAGUCUUGAAGAUGGCUGGAAAAACAAGACUUAAAUAUUUAGGGAUUUAUGGAUUGUUUGGCAUGACAAACCUGCACAUCGAAGAGUUCAAGUUCUUAAUAGGUGUAGAUAGCGUGCUGCCAACUACUCGUAAGCCACGGUUUUUUGGUAGUGAACAUUUGCGUUUCACUUCUGAUGAUGACCGUGCUAUGGACGUUGAAGUUUGCCCGAUAUGCCAGCGACUUGAGCUAGUUUAUGAUUGCCCUUCAGAGAGUUGCCAAAAGAAGCAAUCUGCCUCUCAGUUGUGCAGGGCUUGUACUAAAUGCAUUGCGCGUUGUAUCGAUUGUGGAUGUUGCUUAAUUAAUUGUGAUUAUGUGGAGUUGCUCCAUUUCGAGUUACUUUGUUUAGAUUGCCGGAGAAAACCCUUGGGUGGGCAAAAGGGGGAGCAGAAAAAUCCCUUUUUGUGUGAAACCACUGUUGUUCACAAAGGGGAGGGUUACCAUUUCUACCUCUUUGGCUAGGAUGCAUAAUGUUUGUUGCUUUUUUUGGCUGUGGGAAAGCUUUGGGAUCACAUAGUGCUUUUGAGCAUCAGAUUUAAAAUGGAAGUCCUUUGUCUAUCUUGAAGAAAUUGGAAUUUGAUUAUUGUCGAACCGGAAAGAAACAUGGAAACAAGAAGCUGAUCUCUCGCGCGGGCUUUGAUAGUCUCAUGUUAAAACGGGUGCUUUUGGAUCGGAACUUAAUGACAUUAUGAUGGGGCAAAAAUACAUUCAGGAUGUUACACCACUAGAAGCUUGGGAGGAAGAAAUCUGAUUAAAUUUGUAUACUGCUAAGUGCUAAAACAGUUGGAAUAUGCAUGAUGAUUUGUGGACAGACGAAGUCGACGGAAUGCGGGGUUGCAAAUAUUAAGGCCUACUUGUUUGUGGUGUAGUUGAAGAAGAACGUGUCAGUGUUGGUUGGUUGGCUGGCAUUGAGGCGAAGAUUGGGUUGAGACAAUUAUUGAAACUCAGACAGGUACUUUCAGUGCAUGUGGUUCAGUUUGGGACAUUGUUGGUUAGCAUAUGCUAAAUCUGUGAUUAGCUUAACCUCGAGUACUCAUUUUCUGUCUCGACUUAUAUUGUAAUUAUUUACAAGAAAGAGCAUAGAAACGUUCUAUUACCUUAAUUAAGGGUGUUCAUCGGUCUGUUAGGUAUGAUUUUGAAAGAUGUCAGUUUCAGUAUUUAGUUUUUAAAAAUGCCGUACCAAUAUCAUACCAAAUUCGGUA
Molecule: RNA transcript, 2437 nt
Organism: Capsicum annuum
Lineage: Eukaryota; Viridiplantae; Streptophyta; Magnoliopsida; Solanales; Solanaceae
Gene name: F-box protein SKIP14
Exons: 4
Source: RefSeq, a predicted model, not a curated record